CAGAAGAGUAUGCCACAAGAGUAUGUCCCUAGGAAUUGCUGUGAGAUGAGGGGUGUGCAGGCUUACAGGGAAAAUGUAAUGACAUGUGAGAAGCUGAGGCAGCAGUGCAACGUGAGAUAUUUAACCUUGAAGAGGUGGCAUGUGCUGCUGGGAAGACAGCUCCUGAAGAUGUCUGUGUGUGAAUUCUGUGAAGCCAGUUUCCUGCCCACCACAGAAUAAAGCAUGAUGAUUCUACUGAUGAUUCUUGAUGACAAAGCGUGAUGACUUGAUGAUUCUAAAGGUCUUUUCCAACCUCUGUGAUUCUGUGCUGGACCUGCCUCCAGCUCUGCCCCUGUUCAGUGCUCUCCUGACAUGGGGUGUGUGAAGUACAGAGAUGGUUUGAAAUCCUCAGAGAAAGGGCAACCACUUUUGCCCUCCGUGCUUGACCAUGUGACUUGACAGGUGCUUAGACAUCAGCUCAAUAGCUUAUCUCUGGGAUCGAAAAGUUCAGAAAAGGGGUUCCUGCCUGCGUGAGGAAUGAUCAGGAUUCAUGGCACAGCACAAAUAUGUCCCUCUGGGAGUCCUGACUGCUGAAUCCGCGGUGUUUUGGGGUAGGAGGACAACGUACACCUGUGUCACUUCUACCUUUUCCUCUCCUACCUGCCGACUCUCAUUUGGCAGCACCAUGCAGAGCAGAGCCACUUCUGAAAGAGUCCUUCUUGCACAAGCUCCCCCUUAUUCUGACCCAAAUUCGCAGUUACUGUUUGGAGUGAUUGAUGCUAUAAAAAGGAACCUUCAGGGGCUGCCUCUGAGCUGCAGCCAUCUGAGAAGAGCACAACAAAGCCACCUUCAUGCUUGCUGGGCUUUUUUCUCAUGAUAAUCAGUGCCUGUAUCAUCUGCAGUGCUGUUUGGUUCUUCCAGCCAGCAUUCACCGCCUGAGUAGUGCGAACUGUUGGCUGCACUGGACUUGAUGAGGAAUGUGGGGCAGUGACUCUCUGCUGUCUCCUACCAGAUUCUCCACCUUCUGAUGAAAUAACAGUUUUCUAUAGAAAUAACAGUUUCUGAAGCAUGCAAGAUCUUGGCAGGACACAAUGGGAACUGCAAAACACAGCCUCUGCCUCCUAAUGCUACAUUCAGCUUAAAUUACCCUCUUGUUUCACAGUGUUGCCAUCAUGUCCAUGGGCUUGUAGUGUCCUUCCAGCCUCACCAAGGCCAUCUCCCACAAAAGCCUGCACAAAGCCAGGAGACAGUGACAAUAACACUCAAGCCGCAAUCCUAGUGACCAAGUGGCCAAGGCUAGUGGGAAGCUAUCACCACACAGCCUCCACUUAGCUGGUUCAGUACCUCUCCCUGUUUUUCCUUUGCUAGAUGUGCACCACAGGCAUCUCCCAGCCCCGCAAAAGAAGAUCCUCUCAACCUCUAAAAGUUAAAAACAACAACAAAAACCCCAAACAAACAAAACUCAGAGAUAAGACAAAAAGCCCUAAUUUUUCUUUCGUCCUCCAAUUUCACUGAAGAACAGUAGCAUUGCAAUUCUGAAAUAUCUGAACCUGGGAAGCAGGUAGAAGCUCCUCUGCAGGUGUGCUGCUGGUAUCAAGGCUCAUAGGGGUGACAAGGGGGACAAAGGUAGUGGGGCUGUCCCAUGGCACAUUUCAGCAAUGAGCUGCUGGGAAGCAGGGAACAUCUCUAGGAGCUUUUUGUUAUUAAGGUUUUUUUUGCUAUUAUGUUUUUCCAACGAAUUCCAAUAAAUAAGUAAAUGCCUUGGACACCUUCAGAGAGAAGUUAAUAUGUCAGUGUCAAUGGCUCUUGGGCUGUCUGGCUCAACAGAAAGGUCUGGGUGAGGCUAUGUUUGUGUGUAGGAGCCUCAGGGGUUUUAAGUUAUGGCUCAUGCUUCAUGGCACAGACCAGGAGGGAUUCCCCCAUUCUUACUGUGUUCGUCACUGCACAGCUGGACACACAUGGAGGGAGCAACACGACGGAGCUGGGGAUGGUUACAUUCCCUGAACCAUCAUGUCUGACAUGACUCAACCUGUCUGAGCGCUUAACAGCAGCUCCCGUGUUUCUCACUGGGACAUAAGUUACCAAUCAUACAUGGAUUCAGAUGCUGCUGAGUGCUUCAGCUUCAAUUUUAUCUAAUCAAGAUUGAAUUCCUCUGCCUUUAUGACUACUUUUCUCCAAUUUUAUGUGCUUGCCAGGUCAGGCUCCAGCCCUGCAGGUACUUAGGGUUGGAACUAUGUGCAUGGCCAACAGCUGCUGUGCACAGCCACUCUGCAGGUGGAAGCUUGUCCUGAAGUCUUCAAAGAAGCGAGGCCAGGGGUCCCAGAGGCUGAUUCUCCCAGCUGUCCUUUUAAUUUCAUUCAGACAACAGGUGUUCCUAGGGCAUGAUGAACACACUAACAACUGGUACACAGCGCUGUUUAUUCUCCUGAACUCUGUGUGCUUUUUUUCCUAGAUGUUUCAGAGCAGUGUUGACAUUCAGAACUGCAAUAAAAGCUGUUUACUUUCCAAGUGCAGCAUUUUCUCCUGUCAGAAAGAAAGAAAUGAAAGAGAACUACGAUCAGGACAUUUGGAUGGCACUAGUGACAGCUGUGACAGCCAUCUGUAGGAGGUGAUAUCUCUAGCCAACAGCAGCUGUGUCUCCUUGGUGGUGGCUUGCUCAUGUGUCACACUGAGCUUGCACAGGUUUCUGACCCCAGUGGACCUCUUGCACCAUGGUUUUACCCCUUUUCUGAGGUGGUUUUGGGUCUCAAGUUGACACUUAAAGAGGGUGGGGUGAGUUUGUGUUCAGGAAGGACCCAUGAGAUGCUCCAAGGCAUUUGCUGCCUUUGGAAAAGCAAGUGGACAUCUCCAGUGGGCUGAGCUCUGUGCUGCCACGGCCAUGCUGUUUGUAGGAUCCCAGCUGGAUGUUCUAAUGGUAUCUGUUUCUAUUAGAUCUACAGAAAUUUUAGUUGGUAGUUGACCCUUACCCCUCCACACCCAGUGCACAAUCCUGGGAUAUGUCCACGGCAGUGCCCUUGCCCACAGCAACAUGCUGGAGUGCACUCUGUGCUUCACUUAAUGUCACUUUCUAGCUAAUGUCAUAGCUGGGCACCAGCCAGCAUCACUCGUCCUUGUAUGUGCACCCCAGGCUGUCUCUCUUCAUGCUGGACCUUGCCCUGAAUCACAGAUGUGGCUCGGGGAAGCAGUUUUGCCUGCUUUCUCCAUCACUGUUGUCAGGUUUCAGCUGCAGGCAUAGCAGAAGCAGCUUCCCUGGGACAUUUUGCAUGAGGUCUUUAUGGAGACGAACAUCUCAAACUAAGAAAACCUUUCCAGGUGCAGACCAGAUGUGAGCUUUUCUGAUGUUUUUUUAUAGAGAUAACAAAGAACACAUGGUCAGCCUGUGGUGGCUUCCUUUAAGCUGCCUGCUGGCUUAAAACAGGAGAUUCGCUUGUGUUCUGACAUAGCAACAAGAGCAGCACUCUGCAACUGGACAAGACCACUGUAAGAAGAGGACAAGCUCCCCACUCUGAAUACACCAGCUUUAUCAGAACAAUGAUAAUCCAUACAUUUCUGAGGCCUGAACAUUCCCUUCAAUUGCCCCUCACACAGACCCAGGAGCUAAAGGCAAUCUGCAAGGUCAACCAGAUGGUGGGAUGGUCCCAACCACCCAUGUCACAGAAGUGCAGGAAGCAAAACCAGAUGGGAAUGGGAAAUCACCUGAGGACAUCUCAGUUCCAAGCUGUGCACUGCACCUGGACACCCUUGCUGUGGGUGGCCAAGUGCAGCGUUUGGCUGAGGCUGUUCUGCAAGGAGGAUCCCCAGACAAUGAAAGGUGCCCUUCUCUGACCAGAUGUUAUCCUUUGCUGCCUCUAUGGUCAGCAGAGGAAAAGGCAUGGAGGUACGCUGAGAUGUGAUUCAUCUCCUGAGGAAGAAGUGUCCUUCUGCACAGAGGAACUGCACUAAGGAAAGGCCUGCUGUCCCCCACUGAAAUGGAUGGGUCCCAGCUCACUGGGAGCUGCCAGUGUUGGAGGACAUCCAGGGGAAUCUCACCCCAAAAGGCAGAGACCUGCCACCUCCCUCCCUACGUUGUGCUGCAGUUCAUCCUCUGCUAAAUAUUUGUGUCUCAAGGAUGUCUGGAUGGGGCUGUGGAUUACCCAGACUGCUGAACUACUGUAGCAAAGUAAACAAAUAUCUGAAACAAAAAACAAGCAACUGCUGUCACAGGGCUUUUUGUUUUGUUUUGUUUUGUUUUUGGUUAUUUUUUCCCUGAUAUUAAACAAGGGUUUAAUUAAGAAAACAUCCGACAGAUGGCAGGACGGUACCUAAUACAAGAUAGAGCACUUCUGCAAAUUUAAGGUGGUUCUUUAACAGUCCUUUCUGCAAAGCAGAAGUGAGAGCCGUGGGUUUGGGAGACAUUACUCACUGGCUUGUGUGGGCAUUUCUGGAUCUGAGCUCACUGAGGAGGCUUCUGCCUUCACCGUUCCUGUCUCCUCCCUUUCCCCUCUCCCCGAGGGCUGCCCCCAGCUGACCCCGCUGCUGUGCCUCUCUUCCCUUGGCUCGGUGGUGAGGGGUGGAUGGAGCACUGGGUGAAGUGAAUGGACACAGCUGUGUGGCGGAGGUGGUGGUUUUCAUUUCCCUGAUGAUUUACAAGGAAUUCUGCUGUAGGCAUGAGGAAGAAAGGGCAACUAUGUGGCUGAACUGCUGAGGUGGCCAUCCCAGCACCAUGUGGCAACAUUUUCUCGUAAACCCGGCAAGCCUGAAAGCCCUCUGGAGAGUAUGAGCUGAUGUGGGGUUUUGCUUGGACAUUUUUGGUUUGAUUCUUUUUGUCCAGAGGAAACUGAAAAUAAACCAAAUGUGUCUGUUUCAUCUGAGUUUCCCAUGAUUUUUUGCACUCUUUCAUAUGCG
This is a long non-coding RNA of Gallus gallus (chicken), 4863 nucleotides long. The record is from Ensembl. Lineage: Eukaryota; Metazoa; Chordata; Aves; Galliformes; Phasianidae.